Molecule: non-coding RNA, 85 nt
Filed under: unclassified sequences
Source: RNAcentral
UAUUUCCUGCCGCCGGGUAGGAAAUCAGGCGUCGGAUUCUCUGUCGUUAGGCCAUUGAAGUCAGAGAAUUUGACGCCUCUUUGCU